GCGCGAAAGCACUUCGGUGUGAGUAGAGCGGCGGACGGGUGAGUAACGCGUAAGAAUCUACCUAGUAGUGGGGGACAACUCGAGGAAACUCGAGCUAAUACCGCAUACGCCCUACGGGGGAAAGCGGGGGACCUUCGGGCCUCGCGCUAUUAGAUGAGCUUGCGUUGGAUUAGCUUGUUGGUGAGGUAAUGGCUCACCAAGGCUACGAUCCAUAGCUGGUCUGAGAGGAUGAUCAGCCACACCGGGACUGAGACACGGCCCGGACUCCUACGGGAGGCAGCAGUGGGGAAUAUUGCGCAAUGGGCGAAAGCCUGACGCAGCCAUGCCGCGUGUGUGAAGAAGGCCUUAGGGUUGUAAAGCACUUUCAAUUGGGAGGAAAAGUUAACGACUAAUACUCGUUAGCCUUGACGUUACCUUAGAAGAAGCAC
This 428-nucleotide ribosomal RNA is filed under the name uncultured Gammaproteobacteria bacterium. RNAcentral describes it as "bacterial SSU rRNA". It matches the Rfam family "Bacterial small subunit ribosomal RNA", at positions 64 to 493 of the family's 1533-position model. The record is from RNAcentral. Lineage: Bacteria; Pseudomonadati; Pseudomonadota; Gammaproteobacteria.